Molecule: ribosomal RNA, 546 nt
Filed under: Clostridioides difficile
Lineage: Bacteria; Bacillati; Bacillota; Clostridia; Peptostreptococcales; Peptostreptococcaceae
Description: bacterial SSU rRNA
Rfam family: Bacterial small subunit ribosomal RNA
Source: RNAcentral
GAAACUCAAAGGAAUUGACGGGGACCCGCACAAGUAGCGGAGCAUGUGGUUUAAUUCGAAGCAACGCGAAGAACCUUACCUAAGCUUGACAUCCCAAUGACAUCUCCUUAAUCGGAGAAUUCCCUUCGGGGACAUUGGUGACAGGUGGUGCAUGGUUGUCGUCAGCUCGUGUCGUGAGAUGUUGGGUUAAGUCCCGCAACGAGCGCAACCCUUGUCUUUAGUUGCCAUCAUUAAGUUGGGCACUCUAGAGAGACUGCCAGGGAUAACCUGGAGGAAGGUGGGGAUGACGUCAAAUCAUCAUGCCCCUUAUGCUUAGGGCUACACACGUGCUACAAUGGGUAGUACAGAGGGUUGCCAAGCCGUAAGGUGGAGCUAAUCCCUUAAAGCUACUCUCAGUUCGGAUUGUAGGCUGAAACUCGCCUACAUGAAGCUGGAGUUACUAGUAAUCGCAGAUCAGAAUGCUGCGGUGAAUGCGUUCCCGGGUCUUGUACACACCGCCCGUCACACCACGGGAGUUGGAGACGCCCGAAGCCGAUUAUCUAACCU